Molecule: ribosomal RNA, 292 nt
Filed under: uncultured bacterium
Lineage: Bacteria
Description: partial 16S ribosomal RNA
Rfam family: Bacterial small subunit ribosomal RNA
Source: RNAcentral
UUCAUCCUACGGGGGGCAGCAGUGGGGAAUAUUGCACAAUGGGGGAAACCCUGAUGCAGCGACGCCGCGUGGGUGAAGAAGUAUUUCGGUAUGUAAAGCCCUAUCAGCAGGGAAGAAGAAUGACGGUACCUGACUAAGAAGCACCGGCUAACUACGUGCCAGCAGCCGCGGUAAUACGUAGGGGGCAAGCGUUAUCCGGAUUUACUGGGUGUAAAGGGGGCGCAGACGGCGAUGCAAGCCAGGAGUGAAAGCCCGGGGCCCAACCCCGGGACUGCUCUUGGAACUGCGUGGC